RNAcentral lists this unclassified non-coding RNA (329 nucleotides) under uncultured fungus. RNAcentral describes it as "partial contains small subunit ribosomal RNA, internal transcribed spacer 1, and 5.8S ribosomal RNA". The stretch from base 1 to 73 matches the Rfam family "Eukaryotic small subunit ribosomal RNA", at positions 1759 to 1831 of the family's 1831-position model. The record is from RNAcentral. Lineage: Eukaryota; Fungi.
GCAAACUUGGUCAUUUAGAGGAAGUAAAAGUCGUAACAAGGUCUCCGUUGGUGAACCAGCGGAGGGAUCAUUAUAGAGUUCUACAACUCCUAAACCCAUGUGAACAUACCACUGUUGCCUCGCGCAUGGUACCUGCCUCGUGGCGUGGACCCCGACUCGGGCUCCUAAUCACCGCUCGGCGCCGCCUACCCGGCGGUGUCGGGUAGAGGGAGGACUCCCAGCGCGGUGGCCCUAAACUCUUGUUUUACUUGAAUCUCUGAAUCAAAACUUAAUAAGUUAAAACUUUCAACAACGGAUCUCUUGGUUCUGGCAUCGAUGAAGAACGCAGC